RNAcentral lists this ribosomal RNA (473 nucleotides) under uncultured bacterium. RNAcentral's name for it is "bacterial SSU rRNA". It matches the Rfam family "Bacterial small subunit ribosomal RNA", at positions 27 to 518 of the family's 1533-position model. The record is from RNAcentral.
GGACGAACGCUGGCGGCGUGCCUAACACAUGCAAGUCGAGCGAGGAGAUCCUCGGGAUGAUCCUAGCGGCGGACGGGUAAGUAACACGUGGGCAACCUGCCUCAUAGAGAGGAAUAGCCUUCCGAAAGGGAGAUUAAUACCUCAUAACAUUGCAGUUUCGCAUGGAACAGCAAUUAAAGGAGCAAUCCGCUAUGAGAUGGGCCCGCGGCGCAUUAGCUAGUUGGUGAGGUAACGGCUCACCAAGGCGACGAUGCGUAGCCGACCUGAGAGGGUGAUCGGCCACAUUGGGACUGAGACACGGCCCAGACUCCUACGGGAGGCAGCAGUGGGGAAUAUUGCACAAUGGGGGAAACCCUGAUGCAGCCAACGCCGCGUGAGUGAUGACGGCCUUCGGGUUGUAAAGCUCUGUCUUCAGGGACGAUAAUGACGGUACCUGAGGAGGAAGCCACGGCUAACUACGUGCCAGCAGCUGC